AGUUGCUUGGCCUCCCCUCAGGUCUGGAAGGCUGUACGUCAGGCUGGACCAGGACAACUGGUCUAACAGGCCGUCUAGUGGGGCGUCGAGAGUUGCUUGGCCUCCCCUCAGGUCUGGAAGGCUGUACGUCAGGCUGGACCAGGCCAACGGGGCUAACAGGCCGUCUAGUGGGGCGUCGAGAGUUGCUAGGCCUCCCCUCAGGUCUGGAUGGCUGUACGUCAGGCUGGACCAGGACAACUGGUCUAACAGGCCGUCUAUUGGGGGGCCGAGGGUUGCUUGGCCUCCCCUCAGGUCUGGAAGGCUGUACGUCAGGCUGGACCAGGACAACGGGGCUAACAGGCCGUCUAGUGGGGCGUCGAGAGUUGCUAGGCCUCCCCUCAGGUCUGGAAGGCUGUACGUCAGGCUGGACCAGGACAACUGGUCUAACAGGCCGUCUUGUGGGGCGUCGAGGGUUGCUAGGCCUCCCCUCAGGUCUAGUGAUGCUGACAGGGAUUCUAGGAAUCAUCAUCUCAUGCUGGUGCAGGCUCUCUGGGCUGCUGGGCCGGGAAUCAGGUAGAAGCUUGUAGUUCUUCAGAACCUCAGUGAAGGAGAGCUCCUUGUUGCGCCUGCGUCUGUUGGUUUUGGCAGGCAGCUGGGAGCUGCUGCUGUUAAUCCAACCGGGAGACUCACGACAUCCAUCCUGGACAGGAACUAGGGACUGGAGG
RNAcentral lists this long non-coding RNA (704 nucleotides) under Salmo salar (Atlantic salmon). RNAcentral describes it as "lncRNA (ENSSSAG00000107099.1)". Lineage: Eukaryota; Metazoa; Chordata; Actinopteri; Salmoniformes; Salmonidae. The record is from RNAcentral.